UUCCAGAUGCCAUGAAAGGCUUACAGCUAGUAUAUGGGUAGGCAUCUUCUUCAUCAAAACCGUGAAAGAUAUCUGGUUUGGCAGCUUCUUCAUCAAAAGCACAGAUAAGCGAGGCAUCAACUAGCUUAUUCGGCAUUCACGGUCCAGCAUUAAGUUGUUUCUACUUCCAGUCUUUCGUUUCCUUCACUUUGCCGUUACAAUAUGAUUCUAGUUGAACCCCAUAGCACCGAAAUUUCAGUUGAAGCAGUUCAAAAAUGAUCUUAUCUAUCUCUCUCUAGUAGUAGUCUCUACCCAACAACACUGAAACCCACAAACCCAGUGGACAUGGGUUCUCUCAGAAAUGAAUUAGAGAGAGAGAGAUGACAAGGAGGAGGAAGAGCCCAUUUUAGUAUAGCAAACCCAGAGAUUCUGUAUGUUUCCCAUCAGGUACCAGCAACUUUGGGAGAUGUACAACAAGGCUAAGGCUAGUUUUUGGACUGUUAGGGUUUGCUUUGCUUGGAAUUGAGAGGGUAUCUCAACAAUGGUGGCGGCUUUCACUUGAGUUUAUUGGAAUUCAGAGGAAAUUUAGUGCAAUUCAUUGAUGCAUGUUUUCAUUUAUUUGUUUAUUUAAUCUUUUUCUGUAUAUUUCUAUUUAUUCGGUUUCAAAAUUUAGUUGGUUUUGCGGUUAUGUGACUUAUUACUUGCAAGAAAUGGUUACUCUCUGACUAUGAAAGCAGUUUCUUCCUUUUCUUUAAUGAGGCCCGUCCGCCCGUAACAUUACUUUAGAUAAUAGCAUCUGGUUUUGUCUCUCAGUAGAUCUUCUGAUUUGGGAAAUGAAUUCUUUAAUCUUUUCCUUUGUCUUAAAAUCGGUAUACGUUAUAUGUUUACAGAACAAUACAAGGGAAGGGAAUGAAUUCAACCAAAUGGAAUUUGAUGCUUUGGGCACAAACCCAUUUGGGGUUGCAAACUGAACUGCAAUAUAUAUGUGUGCUCUCACUGAGGAGGUUGAUCUCUCCCAGGAUGUACAGCAGUGGGAGGCUCUGACUGACUCCAAGAAACACUUUAUAAGUCAUGUCCUGGCAUUUUUGAGCCCAUGGUUGCUCGACCUGGUUCUCUACCUCCCUCUGCUCUGAAGGUUGGUGGCCCAGUCAAAACAAAGAUGCCUUCAGAACUGAGAAAUUUUGGUUGGGCUACCAACUGCAGAGAACAGAGAAAUGAUCAUGCGGACUCUGCUGGCGAAAGAGAAGGCAGAUGACUAGCUAGAUUUCAGGGAGCUUGCAACUAUGACUGAAGGAUAUAGUGGAAGUGAUCUUAAGAACUUGUUCACAACAUCUGGCUAUCAGCCUGUGAGGGAGUUAAUGCAGGCAGAGACACAAAAGGAUUUGGAUAAAAAGAAGAGAGCUGCAGAAGACAAAAUCAAGAAGAUGUUUCUGAAGAAUGAAAUCCAGAAGCUGUCUCGGAUACAAAAGAAGAACACAGAGAGGGAAGAGUGAUCACCCUCAGGGCCCUAAAUAUGUCUAUCAGCCAAACAUUGACAUUUUUGAAGCUUUUGAUGAGGAUGCCACUGUAGAUCCUUUAUCUGACCGACGAGAGAAUGAGUGAAGGCGACUGUGAGCAUUCUUUUGUCUUAAAGGAUGGUCUUGGAUAUGUGCUGCAUCUGUAGGGUUAUUGACAGAGGAAUUGACACGAUAUUUGAGUUUCAGUGUAACAAGGCAAUUUAAGUAUGGUCAUGGCUCUAGCUGGGAUAAAGCAGAUCUGGCAGAGUGAAGGAAAGUGGCAGCAGAGUUGAUUAAACUGAAAGGACAUAUACAAAAAGCUGGAUAAACUUCCAGGCUGAAGAUGGUAAAAGACUUUGGUAGACUUUCUGAUCUAAUCUGAUUGAAAUUUAGACUGUUUGUUAUAUGAGAAAAUGCAUAUUUUUCAUACGAAACCUGUUGCUCUUGCAGGAAGCACAAGCAAAUACACUAAAGUAAUUGGUACGUGAAGUAGAACGAGGAAGAUCCUUGUAAAAGUUUGAACCCUAUGUAGUAGAGAAAGAUAACUACCUUGUAAAACUCAAUUAUCUUGUAAACUUUCGUAGAAACUUCAUUCCUUUUAUAACAUUUAUGAGAAAAAUUAAAAUGUAUCAUUCCCUUU
Rosa rugosa (rugosa rose) is the source of this 2115-nucleotide long non-coding RNA. RefSeq lists it as uncharacterized. Lineage: Eukaryota; Viridiplantae; Streptophyta; Magnoliopsida; Rosales; Rosaceae. The transcript has 9 exons. The record is from RefSeq and is a predicted model, not a curated record.